Molecule: ribosomal RNA, 634 nt
Filed under: uncultured bacterium
Lineage: Bacteria
Description: bacterial SSU rRNA
Rfam family: Bacterial small subunit ribosomal RNA
Source: RNAcentral
GCAGUCGAACGAGAAAGCUCCCUUCGGGGAGUGAGUACAGUGGCGAACGGGUGAGUAACGGGUGGAAAACCUACCCUUCAAUGGGGGAUAACAGCUUCUAACGAACUGCUAAUACCGCAUACGACCUCUGGACCGCAUGAUCCGGAGGUGAAAGGUGGCCUCUCUUUGAAGCUGCCGUUGAAGGAUGGUUCCGCCUCCCAUUAGCUUGUUGGUGGGGUAAUGGCCUACCAAGGCGACGAUGGGUAGCCGGCCUGAGAGGGUGUCCGGCCACACUGGGACUGAGAUACGGCCCAGACUCCUACGGGAGGCAGCAGUCGAGAAGCUUCGGCAAUGGGCGAAAGCCUGACCGAGCGAUGCCGCGUGAGUGAAGAAGGCCCUAUGGGUUGUAAAGCUCUGUCAGAUUGGGAAGAAAAUCCUACGGUUAAUACCCGUGGGACUUGACGGUACCAUCAGAGGAAGCACCGGCUAACUCCGUGCCAGCAGCCGCGGUAAUACGGAGGGUGCAAGCGUUGUUCGGAUUCACUGGGUAUAAAGGGUGCGCAGGCGGCCUGAUAAGUCAGAGGUGAAAUAUGCCGGCUCAACCGGCAAACGGCCCCUGAAACUGCCAGGCUUGAGUCCGGGAGAGGUAGGUGGA